RNAcentral lists this unclassified non-coding RNA (406 nucleotides) under soil metagenome. Its description in RNAcentral is "partial contains 5.8S ribosomal RNA, internal transcribed spacer 2, and large subunit ribosomal RNA". The stretch from base 1 to 121 matches the Rfam family "5.8S ribosomal RNA", at positions 35 to 154 of the family's 154-position model. The record is from RNAcentral.
GAUGAAGAACGUAGCGAAAUGCGAUAAGUAAUGUGAAUUGCAGAAUUCAGUGAAUCAUCGAAUCUUUGAACGCACCUUGCGCCCUUUGGCCAUUCCGAAGGGCAUGCCUGUUUGAGUAUCAUGAACACCUCAACUCUUCAUGGUUUUCCGUGAUGAGCUUGGACUUUGGGGGUCUUGCUGGCCUAUGGUCAGCUCCUCUAAAAUAAAUCAGCUUGCCAGUGUUUGGUGGGUAUCACAGGUGUGAUAACUAUCUACGCUUAUGGUUUUCCACCAGGUAACCUUCAGCAGUGGAGGUUCGCUGGAGCUCACAGAUGUGUCUCUCCUCAGUGAGGACAGCUCUUUGAAUGUUUGAUCUCAAAUCAGGUAGGACUACCCGCUGAACUUAAGCAUAUCAAUAAGCGGAGGA